This 522-nucleotide ribosomal RNA is filed under the name uncultured bacterium. RNAcentral's name for it is "bacterial SSU rRNA". It matches the Rfam family "Bacterial small subunit ribosomal RNA", at positions 777 to 1297 of the family's 1533-position model. The record is from RNAcentral.
AAUAGAUACCCUGGUAGUCCACGCCGUAAACGUUGGGCGCUAGAUGUGGGGACCUUUCCACGGUUUCCGUGUCGUAGCUAACGCAUUAAGCGCCCCGCCUGGAGAGUACGGCCGCAAGGCUAAAACUCAAAGGAAUUGACGGGGGCCCGCACAAGCGGCGGAGCAUGCGGAUUAAUUCGAUGCAACGCGAAGAACCUUACCAAGGCUUGACAUACACGAGAACGGGCCAGAAAUGGUCAACUCUUUGGACACUCGUGAACAGGUGGUGCAUGGUUGUCGUCAGCUCGUGUCGUGAGAUGUUGGGUUAAGUCCCGCAACGAGCGCAACCCUCGUCGCAUGUUGCCAGCACGUUAUGGUGGGGACUCAUGUGAGACUGCCGGGGUCAACUCGGAGGAAGGUGGGGAUGACGUCAAAUCAUCAUGCCCCUUAUGUCUUGGGCUUCACGCAUGCUACAAUGGCCGGUACAAAGGGCUGCGAUGUCGUAAGGCGGAGCGAAUCCCAAAAAGCCGGUCUCAGUUCGGA